Zingiber officinale is the source of this 280-nucleotide long non-coding RNA. RefSeq lists it as uncharacterized. The transcript is spliced from 2 exons. The record is from RefSeq and is a predicted model, not a curated record. NCBI's taxonomy places the organism in Eukaryota, Viridiplantae, Streptophyta, Magnoliopsida, Zingiberales, Zingiberaceae.
UUUGAUUUGGAUAGAUAUGCUAAGGAGCUUAUACCCGAACUACAAAUAUCCUGAAAAAUUCACAGAAGCAAAGAGUUACAGACUGCGUUCAGAGAAGCUGGAGAAGUUGGGGUUGAGAUAUAGAACAAUGAAGGAGAGCCUCAUUGAUACCGUUGAAUGUUAUCGAAAUGCUGGUCUUAUGGACAGUGCUUAAACUACGUCUUUCUUGUUGAUGUUGUAUUAUUAUGGAUUGUGGAAAUAAGGAGAUGUUAAUGAACCAAUAAAGUUUGUGAUGGCAGUA